CCUACGGGGGGCUGCAGUGGGGAAUAUUGCACAAUGGGGGAAACCCUGAUGCAGCGACGCCGCGUGAGUGAAGAAGUAUUUCGGUAUGUAAAGCUCUAUCAGCAGGGAAGAAAAUGACGUUACCUGAUUAAGAAGCCCCGGCUAACUACGUUCCAGCAGCCGCGGUCAUACGGAGGGGGCAAGCGUUAUCCGGAUUUACUGGUGGUAAAGGGAGCGUAGACGGCAGCACAAGGCGGGAGUGAAAGGCCCGGGCUUAACCCAGGAACUGCUUUGGAAACUGUGCAACUAGAGUGCAGGAGAGGUAAGUGGAAUUCCUAGUGUAGCGGUGAAAUGCGUAGAUAUUAGGAGGAACACCAGUGGCGAAGGCGGCUUACUGGACUGUAACUGACGUUGAGGCUCGAAAGCGUGGGGAGCAAACAGGAUUAGAUACCCUUGUAGUC
RNAcentral lists this ribosomal RNA (440 nucleotides) under uncultured bacterium. RNAcentral describes it as "partial 16S ribosomal RNA". It matches the Rfam family "Bacterial small subunit ribosomal RNA", at positions 338 to 795 of the family's 1533-position model. The record is from RNAcentral.